GAUGAACGCUGGCGGCGUGCCUAAUACAUGCAAGUCGAGCGAAUGGAUUGAGAGCUUGCUCUCAAGAAGUUAGCGGCGGACGGGUGAGUAACACGUGGGUAACCUGCCCAUAAGACUGGGAUAACUCCGGGAAACCGGGCGUAAUACCGGAUAAUAUUUUGUAACUGCAUGGUUCGAAAUUGAAAGGCGGCUUCGGCUGUCACUUAUGGAUGGACCCGCGUCGCAUUAGCUAGUUGGUGAGGUAACGGCUCACCAAGGCAACGAUGCGUAGCCGACCUGAGAGGGUGAUCGGCCACACUGGGACUGAGACACGGCCCAGACUCCUACGGGAGGCAGCAGUAGGGAAUCUUCCGCAAUGGACGAAAGUCUGACGGAGCAACGCCGCGUGAGUGAUGAAGGCUUUCGGGUCGUAAACUACUGUUGUUAGGGAAGAACAAGUGCUAGUUGAAUAAGCUGGCACCUUGACGGUACCUAACCACGAAAGCCACGGCUAACUACGUGCC
Molecule: ribosomal RNA, 503 nt
Filed under: uncultured bacterium
Lineage: Bacteria
Description: bacterial SSU rRNA
Rfam family: Bacterial small subunit ribosomal RNA
Source: RNAcentral